GGUUCUAUAGUGUAGUGGUUAUCACGUCUGCUUUACGCGCAGAAGGUCCUGGGUUCAAUCCCCAGUGGAACCA
RNAcentral lists this transfer RNA (73 nucleotides) under Perca flavescens (yellow perch). It matches the Rfam family "tRNA". From Rfam's summary of the family: Transfer RNA (tRNA) molecules are approximately 80 nucleotides in length. Their secondary structure includes four short double-helical elements and three loops (D, anti-codon, and T loops). Further hydrogen bonds mediate the characteristic L-shaped molecular structure. tRNAs have two regions of fundamental functional importance: the anti-codon, which is responsible for specific mRNA codon recognition, and the 3' end, to which the tRNAs corresponding amino acid is attached (by aminoacyl-tRNA synthetases). tRNAs cope with the degeneracy of the genetic code in two manners: having more than one tRNA (with a specific anti-codon) for a particular amino acid; and 'wobble' base-pairing, i.e. permitting non-standard base-pairing at the 3rd anti-codon position. Lineage: Eukaryota; Metazoa; Chordata; Actinopteri; Perciformes; Percidae. The record is from Rfam by way of RNAcentral.